RNAcentral lists this ribosomal RNA (492 nucleotides) under uncultured bacterium. RNAcentral describes it as "partial 16S ribosomal RNA". It matches the Rfam family "Bacterial small subunit ribosomal RNA", at positions 29 to 507 of the family's 1533-position model. The record is from RNAcentral.
AGUGAGCGCUGGCGGUAGGCCUAACACAUGCAAGUCGAACGGCAGCACAGUAAGAGCUUGCUCUUACGGGUGGCGAGUGGCGGACGGGUGAGGAAUACAUCGGAAUCUACUUUUUCGUGGGGGAUAACGUAGGGAAACUUACGCUAAUACCGCAUACGACCUACGGGUGAAAGCAGGGGAUCUUCGGACCUUGCGCGAUUGAAUGAGCCGAUGUCGGAUUAGCUAGUUGGCGGGGUAAAGGCCCACCAAGGCGACGAUCCGUAGCUGGUCUGAGGGGAUGAUCAGCCACACUGGAACUGAGACACGGUCCAGACUCCUACGGGAGGCAGCAGUGGGGAAUAUUGGACAAUGGGCGAAAGCCUGAUCCAGCCAUACCGCGUGGGUGAAGAUGGCCUUCGGGUUGUAAAGCCCUUUUGUUGGGAAAGAAAAGCAGCAGGUUAAUACCCCGCUGUUCUGACGGUACCCAAAGAAUAAGCACCGGCUAACUUCGUG